This 1353-nucleotide long non-coding RNA is filed under the name Nicotiana tabacum (common tobacco). Its description in RNAcentral is "long non-coding RNA (NTAB_LNC001306)". The record is from RNAcentral. Lineage: Eukaryota; Viridiplantae; Streptophyta; Magnoliopsida; Solanales; Solanaceae.
UUCUUUAGAUUAAUUUUUUACUUUUCAUUACCGAUUAUCUGUAAAUUGUCUUUUAAUUGUGAUUGGUAGAGUGACAGUCAAUAUAGAAUUAGAAACUUUGACGAAGUACUUUUGGGUCUUACUUGUUAUAGUAGACACACAAAAUGCCAAUUUGAAUUAUAGCCAUUAUAUUAACCAUAUGCUAGCUUUUAAUUAGUGUUUGCAGGGGAAGUGCGUGCAUCUAUCUGAGCGAAUUGAUUUUUUACCGCAAAUUGAGUUCUCAAGUGACCUAUCAAGGUCGCUAUUUUUCGUCUCCAUAGGCAGUAAUGGCUACACCAACAACUACCUUAAGCCUUCAUUUUAUGACUCUAGCAAAUGUUACUCUCCUAGAUCUUUUGCUAAACUUCUCACUGAUACACUUCUUCAACAGUUUCAGGCAAGCCCUUCUACAUCUGGAAAUUGCCACCAAAUCUAAGUACAGAAUCCAUCCUCUAUUCUCUGAAGAUUAUGGAACUACAUCGAAUUUUAAAAUUAGAAUUUGGAUAUUUAAACUAUACUGACCUGUUGUUUUAGAUGAAAUUGGCUAACACAGUCGACCAAAAGAUUCCAACCAUAAUCAAUAGAGAUACAUGCAUUCCACAAUCAGAAACCCAAAUAAGUCCGAUGCAUACUAAGUAUAGAGGAAAACAAACAUUUGAGACAGAAAGAAAGGAAAGAGAGAAAGUUUACCUUUGUUUCCGGUGAAGAGCUUUUAAUAGUCUCUCCUUCCUGACUUGCACUCUUCUCCCUCAUGCCUUACUAUCUAACCCCAAGUUUCAUAUCAGAUUUAAAGAGCAUCAAGAACAAAAUGGAUUGGAGUAUAUUUUUGAGAAACUGAAGAGACGGGAAACAAACAAAGGAAUAAUAUAUGGCUGAGUAAGAAAUGAAGAUGUGUUGGCUGCAAAAAUAAAAGCUGCCGCAGGGAACAAUAUCAACUAAGUAAUUGAAAUGACUAAAUUACCCUCAGGUUUGAAUUAAAUUCCACGAAGCACACACGUCGAAACCUAGCUCUUUAACAGAGAUACAUGCAUUCCACAAUCAGAAACCCAAAUAAGCCUACUACAUAGUCCUGACUAAAUAUAGAGGAAAGCAAACACUCGAAACGGAAAGAAAGGAAAGAGAGAAAGUUUACCUUUGUUUCUGGUGAAUAGCUUUAAAUAGUCUCUCCUUCCUGACGUGCACUCUUCUCCCUUGUGCUUUACUAUCUAACCCCAAGUUUCAUAUCAGAUUUAAAGAGCAUCAAGAACAAAAUGAAUUGGAGUAUAUCUUUGAAAAACUGAAGAGACGGGAAACAAACAAAGGAAUAAUAUACGACUGAGUAAGAAAUGAAGAUGU